This 164-nucleotide ribosomal RNA is filed under the name uncultured bacterium. RNAcentral describes it as "partial 16S rRNA". It matches the Rfam family "Bacterial small subunit ribosomal RNA", at positions 355 to 511 of the family's 1533-position model. The record is from RNAcentral.
CAGGGAAUCUUCCACAAUGGGCGCAAGCCUGAUGGAGCAACACCGCGUGAGUGAAGAAGGGUUUCGGCUCGUAAAGCUCUGUUGUUAAAGAAGAACACGUAUGAGAGUAACUGUUCAUACGUUGACGGUAUUUAACCAGAAAGUCACGGCUAACUACGUGCCAG